AGUCGAACGCUUUGUGGUUCACUGAUUUGAAGAGCUUGCUCAGAUAUGACGAUGGACAUUGCAAAGAGUGGCGAACGGGUGAGUAACACGUGGGAAACCUACCUCUUAGCAGGGGAUAACAUUUGGAAACAGAUGCUAAUACCGUAUAACAAUGACAACCGCAUGGUUGUUAUUUAAAAGAUGGUUCUGCUAUCACUAAGAGAUGGUCCCGCGGUGCAUUAGCUAGUUGGUAAGGUAAUGGCUUACCAAGGCGAUGAUGCAUAGCCGAGUUGAGAGACUGAUCGGCCACAAUGGGACUGAGACACGGCCCAUACUCCUACGGGAGGCAGCAGUAGGGAAUCUUCCACAAUGGGCGAAAGCCUGAUGGAGCAACGCCGCGUGUGUGAUGAAGGGUUUCGGCUCGUAAAACACUGUUGUAAGAGAAGAAUGACAUUGAGAGUAACUGUUCAAUGUGUGACGGUAUCUUACCAGAAAGGAACGGCUAAAUACGUGCCAGCAGCCGCGGUAAUACGUAUGUUCCAAGCGUUAUCCGGAUUUAUUGGGCGUAAAGCGAGCGCAGACGGUUAUUUAAGUCUGAAGUGAAAGCCCUCAGCUCAACUGAGGAAUUGCUUUGGAAACUGGAUGACUUGAGUGCAGUAGAGGAAAGUGGAACUCCAUGUGUAGCGGUGAAAUGCGUAGAUAUAUGGAAGAACACCAGUGGCGAAGGCGGCUUUCUGGACUGUAACUGACGUUGAGGCUCGAAAGUGUGGGUAGCAAACAGGAUUAGAUACCCUGGUAGUCCACACCGUAAACGAUGAGUGCUAGGUGUUUGAGGGUUUCCGCCCUUAAGUGCCGCAGCUAACGCAUUAAGCACUCCGCCUGGGGAGUACGACCGCAAGGUUGAAACUCAAAGGAAUUGACGGGGACCCGCACAAGCGGUGGAGCAUGUGGUUUAAUUCGAAGCAACGCGAAGAACCUUACCAGGUCUUGACAUCCCUUGACAACUCCAGAGAUGGAGCGUUCCCUUCGGGGACAAGGUGACAGGUGGUGCAUGGUUGUCGUCAGCUCGUGUCGUGAGAUGUUGGGUUAAGUCCCGCAACGAGCGCAACCCUUAUUACUAGUUGCCAGCAUUCAGUUGGGCACUCUAGUGAGACUGCCGGUGACAAACCGGAGGAAGGUGGGGAUGACGUCAAAUCAUCAUGCCCCUUAUGACCUGGGCUACACACGUGCUACAAUGGCGUAUACAACGAGUUGCCAACCCGCGAGGGUGAGCUAAUCUCUUAAAGUACGUCUCAGUUCGGAUUGUAGGCUGCAACUCGCCUACAUGAAGUCGGAAUCGCUAGUAAUCGCGGAUCAGCACGCCGCGGUGAAUACGUUCCCGGGUCUUGUACACACCGCCCGUCACACCAUGAGAGUUUGUAACACCCAAAGCCGGUGG
RNAcentral lists this ribosomal RNA (1417 nucleotides) under Weissella confusa. RNAcentral describes it as "bacterial SSU rRNA". It matches the Rfam family "Bacterial small subunit ribosomal RNA", at positions 60 to 1433 of the family's 1533-position model. The record is from RNAcentral. Lineage: Bacteria; Bacillati; Bacillota; Bacilli; Lactobacillales; Lactobacillaceae.